GGGUUGUGAGGUUAAGCGACUAAGCGUACACGGUGGAUGCCCUGGCAGUCAGAGGCGAUGAAGGACGUGCUAAUCUGCGAUAAGCGUCGGUAAGGUGAUAUGAACCGUUAUAACCGGCGAUUUCCGAAUGGGGAAACCCAGUGUGAUUCGUCACACUAUCAUUACGUGAAUACAUAGCGUAAUGAAGCGAACCGGGGGAACUGAAACAUCUAAGUACCCCGAGGAAAAGAAAUCAACCGAGAUUCCCCCAGUAGCGGCGAGCGAACGGGGAGCAGCCCAGAGUCUGAAUCAGCUUGUGUGUUAGUGGAACGGUCUGGAAAGUCCGACGGUACAGGGUGAUAGUCCCGUACACCAAAAUGCACAGGUUGUGAACUCGAAGAGUAGGGCGGGACACGUGGUAUCCUGUCUGAAUAUGGGGGGACCAUCCUCCAAGGCUAAAUACUCCUGACUGACCGAUAGUGAACCAGUACCGUGAGGGAAAGGCGAAAAGAACCCCGGCGAGGGGAGUGAAAAAGAACCUGAAACCGUGUACGUACAAGCAGUGGGAGCAUCCUUUUGGGUGUGACUGCGUACCUUUUGUAUAAUGGGUCAGCGACUUAUAUUCUGUAGCAAGGUUAACCGUAUAGGGGAGCCGAAGGGAAACCGAGUCUUAACUGGGCGUUAAGUUGCAGGGUAUAGACCCGAAACCCGGUGAUCUAGCCAUGGGCAGGUUGAAGGUUGGGUAACACUAACUGGAGGACCGAACCGACUAAUGUUGAAAAAUUAGCGGAUGACUUGUGGCUGGGGGUGAAAGGCCAAUCAAACCGGGAGAUAGCUGGUUCUCCCCGAAAGCUAUUUAGGUAGCGCCUCGUGAAUUCAUCUUCGGGGGUAGAGCACUGUUUCGGCUAGGGGGUCAUCCCGACUUACCAACCCGAUGCAAACUGCGAAUACCGAAGAAUGUUAUCACGGGAGACACACGGCGGGUGCUAACGUCCGUCGUGAAGAGGGAAACAACCCAGACCGCCAGCUAAGGUCCCAAAGUCAUGGUUAAGUGGGAAACGAUGUGGGAAGGCACAGACAGCCAGGAUGUUGGCUUAGAAGCAGCCAUCAUUUAAAGAAAGCGUAAUAGCUCACUGGUCGAGUCGGCCUGCGCGGAAGAUGUAACGGGGCUAAACCAUGCACCGAAGCUGCGGCAGCGACACUAUGUGUUGUUGGGUAGGGGAGCGUUCUGUAAGCCGUUGAAGGUGUAUCGUGAGGUAUGCUGGAGGUAUCAGAAGUGCGAAUGCUGACAUAAGUAACGAUAAUGCGGGUGAAAAACCCGCACGCCGGAAGACCAAGGGUUCCUGUCCAACGUUAAUCGGGGCAGGGUGAGUCGACCCCUAAGGCGAGGCCGAAAGGCGUAGUCGAUGGGAAACAGGUUAAUAUUCCUGUACUUGGUGUUACUGCGAAGGGGGGACGGAGAAGGCUAUGUUAGCCGGGCGACGGUUGUCCCGGUUUAAGCAUGUAGGCGGAGGUUCCAGGUAAAUCCGGUACCUUUUUAACGCUGAGGUGUGAUGACGAGGCACUACGGUGCUGAAGUAACAAAUGCCCUGCUUCCAGGAAAAGCCUCUAAGCAUCAGGUAACACGAAAUCGUACCCCAAACCGACACAGGUGGUCAGGUAGAGAAUACCAAGGCGCUUGAGAGAACUCGGGUGAAGGAACUAGGCAAAAUGGUGCCGUAACUUCGGGAGAAGGCACGCUGAUAUGUAGGUGAAGUGAUUUACUCAUGGAGCUGAAAUCAGUCGAAGAUACCAGCUGGCUGCAACUGUUUAUUAAAAACACAGCACUGUGCAAACACGAAAGUGGACGUAUACGGUGUGACGCCUGCCCGGUGCCGGAAGGUUAAUUGAUGGGGUUAUCCGUAAGGAGAAGCUCUUGAUCGAAGCCCCGGUAAACGGCGGCCGUAACUAUAACGGUCCUAAGGUAGCGAAAUUCCUUGUCGGGUAAGUUCCGACCUGCACGAAUGGCGUAAUGAUGGCCAGGCUGUCUCCACCCGAGACUCAGUGAAAUUGAACUCGCUGUGAAGAUGCAGUGUACCCGCGGCAAGACGGAAAGACCCCGUGAACCUUUACUAUAGCUUGACACUGAACACUGGUCCUUGAUGUGUAGGAUAGGUGGGAGGCUUUGAAGUGUGGACGCCAGUCUGCAUGGAGCCAUCCUUGAAAUACCACCCUUUAAUGGCUGGUGUUCUAACGUGGACCCGUUACCCGGGUUGCGGACAGUGUCUGGUGGGUAGUUUGACUGGGGCGGUCUCCUCCUAAAGAGUAACGGAGGAGCACGAAGGUUAGCUAAUCCUGGUCGGACAUCAGGAGGUUAGUGCAAAGGCAUAAGCUAGCUUGACUGCGAGAGUGACGGCUCGAGCAGGUGCGAAAGCAGGUCUUAGUGAUCCGGUGGUUCUGAAUGGAAGGGCCAUCGCUCAACGGAUAAAAGGUACUCCGGGGAUAACAGGCUGAUACCGCCCAAGAGUUCAUAUCGACGGCGGUGUUUGGCACCUCGAUGUCGGCUCAUCACAUCCUGGGGCUGAAGUAGGUCCCAAGGGUAUGGCUGUUCGCCAUUUAAAGUGGUACGCGAGCUGGGUUUAGAACGUCGUGAGACAGUUCGGUCCCUAUCUGCCGUGGGCGCUGGAGAAUUGAGGGGGGCUGCUCCUAGUACGAGAGGACCGGAGUGGACGCAUCACUGGUGUUCGGGUUGUCAUGCCAAUGGCAUUGCCCGGUAGCUAAAUGCGGAAGAGAUAAGUGCUGAAAGCAUCUAAGCACGAAACUUGCCCCGAGAUGAGUUCUCCCUGAGACUUUAAGUCUCCUGAAGGAACGUUAAAGACGAUGACGUUGAUAGGUCGGGUGUGUAAGUGUAGCGAUACAUUGAGCUAACCGAUACUAAUGAACCGUGAGGCUUAACCUUACAACGCCGAAG
RNAcentral lists this ribosomal RNA (2929 nucleotides) under Citrobacter freundii. Its description in RNAcentral is "23S ribosomal RNA". It matches the Rfam family "Bacterial large subunit ribosomal RNA". The record is from RNAcentral. Lineage: Bacteria; Pseudomonadati; Pseudomonadota; Gammaproteobacteria; Enterobacterales; Enterobacteriaceae.